Molecule: long non-coding RNA, 209 nt
Filed under: Olea europaea (common olive)
Lineage: Eukaryota; Viridiplantae; Streptophyta; Magnoliopsida; Lamiales; Oleaceae
Description: long non-coding RNA (OEUR_LNC011939)
Source: RNAcentral
AGGGGGGAAUAUACACAAUUUUGGAGGAUUUGGAGAGGAAGAACAAGGCAAAAACAAGGCAAUGCACUUCAAGAUUCAAGAUUUCACUUCAAGAAUCAAUUGGGUGAUGUUCUUCCUUGGUUUUAAUUAUUGUUUUUCUUUAUUUCCCAUUAUGUUAGGCUAGAUUUUCAUGUGCUAGGAUUUGCGAUGAACCUUAUAUUAUGAACCCU